AUUGAACGCUGGCGGUAUGCUUUACACAUGCAAGUCGAACGGCUGCACGGGGCAACCUGGUGGCGAGUGGCGAACGGGUGAGUAAUACAUCGGAACGUGCCCAGUCGUGGGGGAUAACGUAGCGAAAGUUACGCUAAUACCGCAUACGAUCUAAGGAUGAAAGCGGGGGAUCGCCAGACCUCGCGCGAUUGGAGCGGCCGAUGUCAGAUUAGGUAGUUGGUGGGGUAAAGGCCCACCAAGCCGACGAUCUGUAGCUGGUCUGAGAGGACGACCAGCCACACUGGGACUGAGACACGGCCCAGACUCCUACGGAGGCAGCAGUGGGGAAUUUUGGACAAUGGGCGCAAGCCUGAUCCAGCCAUUCCGCGUGCAGGAUGAAGGCCUUCGGGUUGUAAACUGCUUUUGUACGGAGCGAAAAGGCUCUCUCUAAUACAGGGGGCUCAUGACGGUACCGUAAGAAUAAGCACCGGCUAACUACGUGCCAGCAGCCGCAGUAA
This 497-nucleotide ribosomal RNA is filed under the name uncultured bacterium. RNAcentral's name for it is "partial 16S ribosomal RNA". It matches the Rfam family "Bacterial small subunit ribosomal RNA", at positions 30 to 523 of the family's 1533-position model. The record is from RNAcentral.